This 75-nucleotide transfer RNA is filed under the name Puniceicoccales bacterium. RNAcentral describes it as "tRNA-Cys". It matches the Rfam family "tRNA". Rfam says of the family: Transfer RNA (tRNA) molecules are approximately 80 nucleotides in length. The record is from RNAcentral. Lineage: Bacteria; Pseudomonadati; Verrucomicrobiota; Opitutia; Puniceicoccales.
GGCGCGGUAGCCAAGUGGUAAGGCAGGAGUCUGCAAAACUUCUAUUCGGCGGUCCGAUUCCGCCCCGCGCCUCCA